This 253-nucleotide unclassified non-coding RNA is filed under the name uncultured Chlamydiales bacterium. Its description in RNAcentral is "contains 16S-23S intergenic spacer region". It matches the Rfam family "Bacterial small subunit ribosomal RNA", at positions 524 to 776 of the family's 1533-position model. The record is from RNAcentral. Lineage: Bacteria; Pseudomonadati; Chlamydiota; Chlamydiia; Chlamydiales.
UACGGAGGGUGCAAGCAUUGAUCGGAAUUACUGGGCGUAAAGGGCGCGUAGGCGGCUUUGUAAGUCAGAUGUGAAAUUCCGGGGCUCAACCCCGGAGCUGCAUUUGAAACUGCAUAGCUAGAGUACAGUUAGGGUAAACGGAAUUCCACGUGUAGCGGUGAAAUGCGUAGAUAUGUGGAAGAACACCGGUGGUGAAGACGGUUUACUGGGCUGUAACUGACGCUGAGGCGCGAAAGCAUGGGUAGCGAACAGG